UGGGGAAUAUUGCACAAUGGGCGCAAGCCUGAUGCAGCCAUGCCGCGUGUGUGAAGAAGGCCUUCGGGUUGUAAAGCACUUUCAGCGAGGAGGAAGGUGGUGAACUUAAUACGUUCAUCAAUUGACGUUACUCGCAGAAGAAGCACCGGCUAACUCCGUGCCAGCAGCCGCGGUAAUACGGAGGGUGCAAGCGUUAAUCGGAAUUACUGGGCGUAAAGCGCACGCAGGCGGUUUGUUAAGUCAGAUGUGAAAUCCCCGGGCUCAACCUGGGAACUGCAUUUGAAACUGGCAAGCUAGAGUCUCGUAGAGGGGGUAGAAUUCCAGGUGGUAGCGGUGAAAUGCGUAGAGAUCUGGAGGAAUACCGGUGGCGAAGGCGGCCCCCUGGACGAAGACUGACCGCUCAGGUGCGAAAGCGUGGGGAGCAAAACAGGAUUAGGAUAACCCUGGUAGUCCACGCUGUAAACGAUGUCGAUUUUGGAGGUUGUGCCCUUGAGGCGUGGCUUCCGGAGCUAACGCGUUAAAUCGACCGCCUGGGGAGUACGGCCGCAAGGUU
This 553-nucleotide ribosomal RNA is filed under the name uncultured bacterium. RNAcentral's name for it is "partial 16S ribosomal RNA". It matches the Rfam family "Bacterial small subunit ribosomal RNA", at positions 355 to 895 of the family's 1533-position model. The record is from RNAcentral.